Molecule: non-coding RNA, 498 nt
Organism: Pelobates cultripes (western spadefoot toad)
Lineage: Eukaryota; Metazoa; Chordata; Amphibia; Anura; Pelobatidae
Source: the annotation of a GenBank genome assembly
AGCCGGGGAGAGCAUUCUGCUCAGGUAGGGCGGGAGUUUCCCAGAAAAGCUCUCAAACACAAGGCUGGAAAGAUGAAGGGUGCGUCUGGAUUCCAGUGACAGCCAGUUUAGUUCUUUUAGCAUGUCACAAUGGUGAGUCCUGUAACAAAGCAGCAGAAUGAGUUAUACAAUGUAUUGCGUAAAGCAAUAUAGGCCCAGCAAACCAAUCUGGCAAAUUUCAAUGUGCAAACAUGGGAAAGGGAAAAGCUCUACAUUUGACCCCUGUAAGUUUCUUUAAACACAUAUAACCUGUACAUUGGGGGCACUGUUGUACUCGUGAGACAUUUCUGAAUACAAAUAUGUGUAUUUUACUUCAGUAAAAUCCAACGGUAUUAUGACAUUCACAGUUAACCUCUUAAUGACACAACUUCUGGAAUAAAAGGGAAUCAUGACGGAAUAUUUCCGUCAUGUGUCCUUAAGGGGUUAAAAUGCCAUGCAGAACUUGAAAAAUAACAUUUC